Molecule: ribosomal RNA, 253 nt
Filed under: uncultured bacterium
Lineage: Bacteria
Description: partial 16S ribosomal RNA
Rfam family: Bacterial small subunit ribosomal RNA
Source: RNAcentral
UACGGAGGGUGCGAGCGUUGUCCGGAAUCACUGGGCGUAAAGGGCGCGUAGGCGGCGCGGAUAGUCGGCGGUGAAAGCCCGGAGCUCAACUCCGGGUCGGCCGUCGAUACUUCCGGGCUUGAGCACUGUAGAGGCAGAUGGAAUUCCGGGUGUAGCGGUGGAAUGCGUAGAGAUCCGGAAGAACACCGGUGGCGAAGGCGGCUCACUGGCCCGGCAUUGACGCUGAGGCGCGAAAGCCAGGGGAGCAAACGGG